This 683-nucleotide ribosomal RNA is filed under the name Escherichia coli. RNAcentral describes it as "bacterial SSU rRNA". It matches the Rfam family "Bacterial small subunit ribosomal RNA", at positions 875 to 1520 of the family's 1533-position model. Lineage: Bacteria; Pseudomonadati; Pseudomonadota; Gammaproteobacteria; Enterobacterales; Enterobacteriaceae. The record is from RNAcentral.
AAUUCGAUGCAACGCGAAGAACCUUACCUGGUCUUGACAUCCACGGAAGUUUUCAGAGAUGAGAAUGUGCCUUCGGGAACCNGCCCGCACAAGCGGUGGAGCAUGUGGUUUAAUUCGAUGCAACGCGAAGAACCUUACCUGGUCUUGACAUCCACAGAACUUUCCAGAGAUGGAUUGGUGCCUUCGGGAACUGUGAGACAGGUGCUGCAUGGCUGUCGUCAGCUCGUGUUGUGAAAUGUUGGGUUAAGUCCCGCAACGAGCGCAACCCUUAUCCUUUGUUGCCAGCGGUCCGGCCGGGAACUCAAAGGAGACUGCCAGUGAUAAACUGGAGGAAGGUGGGGAUGACGUCAAGUCAUCAUGGCCCUUACGACCAGGGCUACACACGUGCUACAAUGGCGCAUACAAAGAGAAGCGACCUCGCGAGAGCAAGCGGACCUCAUAAAGUGCGUCGUAGUCCGGAUUGGAGUCUGCAACUCGACUCCAUGAAGUCGGAAUCGCUAGUAAUCGUGGAUCAGAAUGCCACGGUGAAUACGUUCCCGGGCCUUGUACACACCGCCCGUCACACCAUGGGAGUGGGUUGCAAAAGAAGUAGGUAGCUUAACCUUCGGGAGGGCGCUUACCACUUUGUGAUUCAUGACUGGGGUGAAGUCGUAACAAGGUAACCGUAGGGGAACCUGCGGUUG